This 356-nucleotide ribosomal RNA is filed under the name uncultured Desulfobulbus sp. Its description in RNAcentral is "bacterial SSU rRNA". It matches the Rfam family "Bacterial small subunit ribosomal RNA", at positions 1027 to 1382 of the family's 1533-position model. Lineage: Bacteria; Pseudomonadati; Thermodesulfobacteriota; Desulfobulbia; Desulfobulbales; Desulfobulbaceae. The record is from RNAcentral.
UCUGGAGACAGGUGCUGCAUGGCUGUCGUCAGCUCGUGUCGUGAGAUGUUGGGUUAAGUCCCGCAACGAGCGCAACCCUUGCCUUUAGUUGCCAGCAGUUCGGCUGGGCACUCUAAAGGGACUGCCGGUGUUAAACCGGAGGAAGGUGGGGAGUGACGUCAAGUCCUCAUGGCCUUUAUGACCAGGGCUACACACGUACUACAAUGGCCGAUACAAAGGGCAGCGACACUGCGAGGUGAAGCCAAUCCUGUAAAAUCGGUCUCAGUCCGGAUUGGAGUCUGCAACUCGACUCCAUGAAGUUGGAAUCGCUAGUAAUCGUGGAUCAGCAUGCCACGGUGAAUACGUUCCCGGGCCUU